GCUGUAUUUAAAUAAUCCUACCUGCAUUUUGUUUUGUUUAUUCAAAUUAGAGACGAGUGAAAUGUGAAAGACGUAUUAGAUGUGUGAUAUACUCUAGACUUAAGUAAUUGUGAAUGUGCAUGAUGGGUAAAUUUUCAAGAAGACUCUACUAUUGCGUUAAAUGGGUUAAAAUGUAAGAAGGGUUAAAUGUGCAAGAUGUGUUAAAUGCAUAAGAUGUGCUAAAUGUUUUAAAUGUGUACAAAAUAUUAUAUGUAUAAGAUGUAUUAAGAUGUGUAAAUUGUGUAAAAAAAAAGUAAAACUACAACUUCGCUACAAUCAACGGAGUUGCUGAUAUGGGAAGCAGAUAGUAUCAAGUGCUCCAAUUUGUACUGAGAUGAGUCAUGCAGUGACCUAGAUGUGCCAACAGGUAGCAACAUCAGCAUCAACAGACCCUCUCCUGACGUCUUCAGCCACUACCUACCUGAUCACUGGUUUCGGAGAACACCACUUUGCUAUUCAAACCUCUUUCAAAACGUUAUUCAAACCUUUGGUUUGAAAAAAAAAAGCUGGGCAUCUAAAGGCCGGGUCGGAGGAGUUAUUCAGAUAUUCUGUGGCUAAGGUCUGUGGACAGACGGAUCAUCUGCGCCAUUUCACCACAGGAUGGCAUUUACCUUUAAUGACAUUUCUAUUGUGAUAGUAUUCACGCCCCCGCAGCGCCCACAUGGCAAAUAGAGUACUUCUCCGAAACCAAAAGCUAGGAUAUGUCGACCUGUUGGGAGUAUUCUUUCCCAAAACCAUCGCAUCCGAAUCCCGCAGUGUUUUAGUCUACCGUUGUCUAGGUAACGCUUAAAAAAAGUCAAGAGCAGAUCACUCUUAAUACACACGUCGUUCCAGGAAUUCAUUUUAUUACGGGCGUAGUUUCCCUUUAUUGUUAUAAUUUACAUAUUCUUAUCAGCUAUCUUCAGCGAUCAAAAUAUAAAAGUUUGUAUCAUAAUUUGGGUUUCUUCCGAGCCUCCUAGGUAUAUAGCGUAAAUAUAAUCUCUUUUGAUACAUUUAUAUCGAAAAUACAUUAUUUUUUCAUAUAUUUUUAAACAUUAAUACAAAUUAUUGCUUGUAUAAUCUUUUAAGUAAAUACAUUUAUAUGUAUAGUUUAUUUUAUUAUUAUUAUUAUUCACACUAUCUUCAUAAUGUAAGAUAAGUAGCAUGUAAAAAUUGGUCGUAAAGCAACAAAUGGAAUAAUUUAUUUGAACUGAAAUUUCGCACAUAGUAGUAAGGCAGGUUAGGAAUGGCUAAGUCGUAAAGCGAUUGGCUUUCGAACCGAUGGUUCCGGGUUCGAAUCCUAGUAAAGACUGGGAUUUUGAAUUUCAAGAUUUUAAGGCCCCUCUGAUUCCACCAAUCUGUAAUGGGUACCUGACAUAAGUUGGGAAAAAUCAAGGUGGUUGGUCGUUGUGCUGGCCACAUACACCCUCGUUAACUGUUGCCACAGAAAUAUAUGACUUUUACAUUAUCUGCCCCAUAGAUCGCAAGGUCUGAAAGGGGUACUUUACUUAGUAAGGCACUUUAAGCUCAGUUGAUAGAGCUCGAGGUUGUACUGGACACAUGACCUCCUCGUAGACCAUCGGCUGUAUAAACAGGUGACAUCAUUAAC
Biomphalaria glabrata is the source of this 1627-nucleotide long non-coding RNA. RefSeq lists it as uncharacterized. The transcript is spliced from 3 exons. The record is from RefSeq and is a predicted model, not a curated record. Lineage: Eukaryota; Metazoa; Mollusca; Gastropoda; Planorbidae.